Molecule: ribosomal RNA, 208 nt
Filed under: uncultured bacterium
Lineage: Bacteria
Description: partial 16S ribosomal RNA
Rfam family: Bacterial small subunit ribosomal RNA
Source: RNAcentral
CUCGUAGGCGGCUCAGUUAGUCGGGUGUGAAACCCCCGGGCUCAACCCGGGGACGCCACCCGAUACUGCUGUGGCUAGAGUCCGGUAGGGGAGCGUGGAAUUCCUGGUGUAGCGGUGAAAUGCGCAGAUAUCAGGAGGAACACCAGCGGCGAAGGCGGCGCUCUGGGCCGGAACUGACGCUGAGGAGCGAAAGCGUGGGGAGCGAACA